RNAcentral lists this ribosomal RNA (433 nucleotides) under uncultured bacterium. RNAcentral describes it as "partial 16S ribosomal RNA". It matches the Rfam family "Bacterial small subunit ribosomal RNA", at positions 29 to 507 of the family's 1533-position model. The record is from RNAcentral.
AACGAACGCUGGCGGCAUGCCUAACACAUGCAAGUCGAACGAAGUCUUCGGACUUAGUGGCGCACGGGUGCGUAACGCGUGGGAAUCUGCCCUUGGGUACGGAAUAACUCAGAGAAAUUUGUGCUAAUACCGUAUAAUGUCUUCGGACCAAAGAUUUAUCGCCCAAGGAUGAGCCCGCGUAAGAUUAGCUAGUUGGUGGGGUAAAAGCCUACCAAGGCGACGAUCUUUAGCUGGUCUGAGAGGAUGAUCAGCCACACUGGGACUGAGACACGGCCCAGACUCCUACGGGAGGCAGCAGUGGGGAAUAGUGGACAAUGGGCGAAAGGCUGAUCCAGCAAGGCCGCGUGAGUGAUGAAGGCCCUAGGGUUGUAAAGCUCUUUUACCAGGGAUGAUAAUGACAGUACCUGGAGAAUAAGCUCCGGCUAACUCCGUG